This 1897-nucleotide long non-coding RNA is filed under the name Jatropha curcas. Its description in RNAcentral is "long non-coding RNA (JCUR_LNC001882)". The record is from RNAcentral. Lineage: Eukaryota; Viridiplantae; Streptophyta; Magnoliopsida; Malpighiales; Euphorbiaceae.
ACUUUGCUAAAACUUCAACUAAAUAACAUCAAACGCUAAUUAUUGUUUUGGUCUAUUAGCUAAUUAGUAGUGGCUAUACAUUUUCAUAUGCAGACAACUAUCUUGCAAUUCCAAACAGGGCACUUGGACUUGCAAGUGGUGGCCGAAUCAGAGAGUGACAUCUAACUGCAUCAACUACAUUAUUAUUCUUCACCAAUCACAUGAUUCUCCAAAUCCACUUGUAGCCUACCUACUGGCCCAUUUCAUGUGACGUGUUUGGGUUAAAUGUUUUUUCAUUUGAAAGGAGGACCCACAACUCGUGUAAUUUUCCAUCAUCAAAUAAAAUAUCAUCUUAAUCAGUAUCAACUGCCCAACAAGACUUUCCAGAAGGAAAAAGGAGAAAAGGAGAGCAUUAGUUCUUAAAUUGCGAUUAUUUAUAAUAAACCUAUGAUCAUUAUCCGACUAUUAAUGUAUUUAAUUUAAAGAAAACAAAAUCAAAGGACCAAACCUGAAAGUAAAUAAAUAAAUAAUAGAUUUCGAAAUCUGUAACCCCAACUCAUUCAUAAAGAAUGCUGUGUGCCAAUCCUAAAAAAAAAAAAAAAAAAAAAAACACUUUGGCACCACAGAUACAAAACAAAGGUAUUCAUCAAUCAAGCGUUGUGACUCAUGUUGACAUGAGUCACAAAAAAACAAAAAAAAGACGUUGACACGUGUCGGUGGCUACGUGCAUUAAAUAAGAAAAGAAAUUAAAGAAUAUUUUUCUUCGUUCAACUUUCCAAGUGAAUUUGCUAAUUAACAAUCACUACGACUAAUACUUAAUUGCUAAGGAAAGCAAAAUAGUAAUGCGCAGUAUGGCUUACUUACAUACACUAAAUUAUUCUUCACCUCUAUUUUCAGUUCUUGGUACCGUGCCAUGUGAAAAUUAUAUUCCCUAGAAUUUAUAUUCAAAAAUAAAAGAGAAUAGACAAUUAUAUGUAUCUACAGAAUUCAAAUAGAUUUAAAAUCUAAACCGGAAUUCCAAAUUUUAAAACUGUUCCGAUCAAUUAGAUUAAACUCAAUUAAUCAUAUCAGCAAGAUUAAGAAAACCAAAAAAAUUAGACACAAAUAUAAAUCGAUAGAUUUAAUUUAUAAUAUAAUAAUAUGCCAAUCCAUAACCAACUGUGCACUACCAAACAGAUUACAUAUAUAUAUGUAAAAUAUCACUCAUAAUCCUAAAAAUUUUAUAUAUAAAUAUUCUAAACCCAAAAAACCUAGAUCCAAAUCAAACACUCAAUAAUAAAACUCUAAUAAUAAGUAAUAAAUCUGAAUAAUCAAUGACAUUACUUAAACCACCUAUCAUCCCUCAGAUCUUCAAUCCAUAGCCAAAUAGGAGAGCAGCGACCGAUGCAACGCAAGCAGAGGCCACCGAAGGUGAGAUCGCGCCAGCUCCAGAGGCGGGGGCUGGAGCAGGAGCAGACUCCGGAGCGGCAGCGUUAGCAGAGAGAACCGCAAGAAGCAGAGCCAUAACAGCAAUGAGAGAGGCCUUGGAGAGAAAAGCCAUUGUUCUUUGAAUGUCUGGUUAGGGAUUUUUUUAAAUUUGAGAGAAAUGCGCAGACAAACAAAGGAGAGGAUUCUAGAUUGCGACGGGUUUGUUCGUAGAGGCGAAGGCGUACUAGUCAGGGGAUUAUAUAGUGGGAAAGAGUAGGUUUAGGACAAAGUGGUAAAUUUUUACGGUCAGCUGCCCGAAUUUACAGCCUGGCGAAUGGUGUAGUCACAGCCGGUCAUUCAAAAGAAAAUGACAUCCGGAGCAUUCUCUCUCUUGUGGAGUAAUUUUCAGAGAGGGUUUUAUUUUUGUUACGGCGCCGUUUAAUGUCCAAAUUAAGAAUUUAUUCUCUGUUCUACUGGAAGAAGAGAUCAAAAUCACGAGAGAACCAGCGUG